Musa acuminata subsp. malaccensis (wild Malaysian banana) is the source of this 951-nucleotide long non-coding RNA. RefSeq lists it as uncharacterized. Lineage: Eukaryota; Viridiplantae; Streptophyta; Magnoliopsida; Zingiberales; Musaceae. The record is from RefSeq and is a predicted model, not a curated record.
UCUCUCUCUUCGAUGGGCCGACGUUAGCAGCAGCAGACGACGAGAAACCAACCCUAACGUGAAGGUGACACCUGAAACGCUAAUCCAUAAAACCCUUACGCCUACCCAAAUCAAGAAAAGCGCAUGGUGUCGCUGAGUCGGGCGGCCUGGAGGGCUCUGGGCCGCUCCCGACGACCAUGGCCGAGGCGACGACCGAGGUCUACCGCCACGGGAGGGAUGCCGGAGCCGAGGUCUGGGAGCCCGUCAGAGAGUGCCGAUGUCUCGUUUUUAAGUUCGCCACUAAUAGUGUUCCAAAAAUGACGUUUUGUGUCCCAAACGCACCUUUAUUGUGCGGAAUUGGACAGGGAUGGGAGAGGGCGAGCCGGCUUAAGUAUAGACUACCAUGGCUAGUUUUCUUGGAUCUUUGGUGACUCUAUUAGGUCAGGUGGCAGAUUGGCUGCGAUCAGCUUCCAAUUCGAUUUCCAGUCAGUAGCCGAAGAAUUGAGGGUUUGAGAUAUAAUUCUGUUGAUUAUGAUUCAAUUUGGUUGACUCAGACAAACGUUGAUCGAGAACAUUGUAGAUAUACAGGUUGAGACAGGGCUAUAGGUGCUGCUUGUGCUUUAGGUGCUCUCGAUGGUUGAUUGAGAUUUUGACUUGGAGACAAUUCGCCGCAAGCAGUGAGACAUUUGGCACCAAUAACACUGUUGAAGUUUAUCCGUCUUUUAACGGUAGUCAUCAGCUAUUAUUUUAAUCUUCCAAGAGUGGAAUUUUCUCAUGUUUGGAAGGCAAUCGACAAGAUCAAGACGAAUUGGGACAGCUGGAGGAUAUCGCUACAUUUUGGUACUCAGAGCAUUAGUAAUGACAAGUCUUACACAUCUCUAAAGGCUAUAGAUCCCAAACAAGAUCUGGUCAUGUAAUUGUAGUGCCUUUUGGACCAUAUUAUCUAAGCUAUUACCAGUGUUUUUUCUGUCA